RNAcentral lists this transfer RNA (365 nucleotides) under uncultured Microcystis sp. RNAcentral's name for it is "partial 16S-23S ribosomal RNA intergenic spacer". The stretch from base 136 to 209 matches the Rfam family "tRNA". Lineage: Bacteria; Bacillati; Cyanobacteriota; Cyanophyceae; Chroococcales; Microcystaceae. The record is from RNAcentral.
AAAGGGAGACCUAAUUCAGGUAGGAGACGAAAAAAAAGUAGUCGCUACCAAGAAUCAAUCCCAAAAGGUCGGAGCGAGGCGAAAUUGGCUUUCAAACUAGGUUCUGGGUUCACACAAGACCUGAAUCAGGAACAAGGGCUAUUAGCUCAGGUGGUUAGAGCGCACCCCUGAUAAGGGUGAGGUCCCUGGUUCGAGUCCAGGAUGGCCCACCUGCACAGGUGGCAAAAACAAAGAAAAAAAGCUCCGAAUCAGCACCUUAUCUUACUUAUACAGUAAGAGAGAAUGCUGGCUCUGAGUUCAGAGUCCAGAGGAACCUUGAAAACUGCAUAGAGCUAGGUGAAAAAGCCAAAAAAGAAGACCGCAAG